This 552-nucleotide ribosomal RNA is filed under the name Penicillium sp. ROV11Q1FRB-04. RNAcentral's name for it is "eukaryotic LSU rRNA". The stretch from base 172 to 325 matches the Rfam family "5.8S ribosomal RNA". Lineage: Eukaryota; Fungi; Ascomycota; Eurotiomycetes; Eurotiales; Aspergillaceae. The record is from RNAcentral.
GAGUGAGGGCCUCUGGGUCCAACCUCCCACCCAUGUUUAUUGUACCUUGUUGCUUCGGCGGGCCCGCCUCACGGCCGCCGGGGGGCUUCUGCCCUCUGGCCCGCGCCCGCCGAAGACACCAUUGAACACUGUCUGAAGAUUGCAGUCUGAGCAAUUAGCUAAAUAAGUUAAAACUUUCAACAACGGAUCUCUUGGUUCCGGCAUCGAUGAAGAACGCAGCGAAAUGCGAUACGUAAUGUGAAUUGCAGAAUUCAGUGAAUCAUCGAGUCUUUGAACGCACAUUGCGCCCCUUGGUAUUCCGGGGGGCAUGCCUGUCCGAGCGUCAUUGCUGCCCUCAAGCACGGCUUGUGUGUUGGGCCCCGUCCUCCUUCCCGGGGGACGGGCCCGAAAGGCAGCGGCGGCACCGCGUCCGGUCCUCGAGCGUAUGGGGCUUUGUCACCCGCUCUUGUAGGCCCGGCCGGCGCUUGCCGACAACCAUCAAUCUUCUUUCAGGUUGACCUCGGAUCAGGUAGGGAUACCCGCUGAACUUAAGCAUAUCAAUAAGCGGAGGAA